Molecule: ribosomal RNA, 419 nt
Filed under: uncultured bacterium
Lineage: Bacteria
Description: partial 16S ribosomal RNA
Rfam family: Bacterial small subunit ribosomal RNA
Source: RNAcentral
UUUUGGACAAUGGGGGCAACCCUGAUCCAGCCAUCCCGCGUGUGCGAUGAAGGCCUUCGGGUUGUAAAGCACUUUUGGCAGUGAAGAAAAGGCGCAGGCUAAUACCCUGUGCUGCUGUCGGUACCUGCAGACUAAGCACCGGCUAACUACUUGCCAGCAGCCGCGGUAAUACGUAGGGUGCAAGCGUUAAUCGGAAUUACUGGGCGUAAAGCGUGCGCGGGCGGUUCGGAAAGAAGGAUGUGAAAACCCGGGGCUUAACCUCGGAAAUGCAUUCUUAACUGCCGGGCUAGAGUAUGUCAGAGGGGGGUAGAAUUCCACGUGUAGCAGUGAAAUGCGUAGAGAUGUGGAGGAAUACCGAUGGCGAAGGCAGCCCCCUGGGAUAAUACUGACGCUCAUGCACGAAAGCGUGGGGAGCAAAC